This is a small nucleolar RNA of Electrophorus electricus (electric eel), 86 nucleotides long. Ensembl annotates it as Small nucleolar RNA MBII-202. Lineage: Eukaryota; Metazoa; Chordata; Actinopteri; Gymnotiformes; Gymnotidae. The record is from Ensembl.
UGAUGACACUUUCUCCGGAAUCUCUGCACUUCCUUGAUGAUCCUCCUUUGAACCCUUUUCCAGCUGAUGACUGCACUGAAUUUUUU